CCGACAUCAAGAAGUAGUCUGAGAUGCACCCAUGAUAGCUGAAUUAAGACGAGGUGGCCAGCAUUUUCAAUCUGUGUGUGGAAUUCAAGGGAUCACUGGAUGGAUGCUCCAUCUGCAAACCUGAUGAAGGCAUUUAGUACCUAUGACUGAGGAUUCUGGCAUUGAUGUCUGCCACGAAUGUGCUCUCCUCUCAAGGGACUGUGCCUAUAUGAAUGAAGACCCUUAGAGCGUCGUGAAG
This is a long non-coding RNA of Sardina pilchardus (European sardine), 238 nucleotides long. RefSeq lists it as uncharacterized. Lineage: Eukaryota; Metazoa; Chordata; Actinopteri; Clupeiformes; Clupeidae. The record is from RefSeq and is a predicted model, not a curated record. The transcript has 3 exons.